RNAcentral lists this ribosomal RNA (782 nucleotides) under uncultured bacterium. RNAcentral describes it as "bacterial SSU rRNA". It matches the Rfam family "Bacterial small subunit ribosomal RNA", at positions 28 to 776 of the family's 1533-position model. The record is from RNAcentral.
GACGAACGCUGGCGGCGUGCCUAAUACAUGCAAGUCGAGCGAGCGGAACCAACAGAUUUACUUCGGUAAUGACGUUGGGAAAGCGAGCGGCGGAUGGGUGAGUAACACGUGGGGAACCUGCCCCUAAGUCUGGGAUACCAUUUGGAAACAGGUGCUAAUACCGGAUAAUAAAGCAGAUCGCAUGAUCAGCUUUUGAAAGGCGGCGUAAGCUGUCGCUAAGGGAUGGCCCCGCGGUGCAUUAGCUAGUUGGUAAGGUAACGGCUUACCAAGGCGACGAUGCAUAGCCGAGUUGAGAGACUGAUCGGCCACAUUGGGACUGAGACACGGCCCAAACUCCUACGGGAGGCAGCAGUAGGGAAUCUUCCACAAUGGACGCAAGUCUGAUGGAGCAACGCCGCGUGAGUGAAGAAGGUUUUCGGAUCGUAAAGCUCUGUUGUUGGUGAAGAAGGAUAGAGGUAGUAACUGGCCUUUAUUUGACGGUAAUCAACCAGAAAGUCACGGCUAACUACGUGCCAGCAGCCGCGGUAAUACGUAGGUGGCAAGCGUUGUCCGGAUUUAUUGGGCGUAAAGCGAGCGCAGGCGGAAAAAUAAGUCUAAUGUGAAAGCCCUCGGCUUAACCGAGGAACUGCAUCGGAAACUGUUUUUCUUGAGUGCAGAAGAGGAGAGUGGAACUCCAUGUGUAGCGGUGGAAUGCGUAGAUAUAUGGAAGAACACCAGUGGCGAAGGCGGCUCUCUGGUCUGCAACUGACGCUGAGGCUCGAAAGCAUGGGGUAGCGAACAGG